UGCGUCACGACGCCGAAAGGUGGAGUCAAUCGCGAAACCCAGUCGUAGUCGGGAUCGCGGGUUGGAACUCACCCGCGUGAACCUGGAAUCCCUAGUAUCCGCGUGUCACUAUCGCGCGGAGAAUACGUCCCUGCUUCUUGCACACACCGCCCGUCGCUCCAUGCGAGCUGUUCUGGGGUGAGGUGUCGUCCACUGGGCGAUGACGAAUCUUGGGAUAGCAAGUAGGGAGAAGUCGUAAUCGAUUCACGUUUCGUGAACGACGGCAAACAAGGUAUCCGUAGCGGAAGCUGCGGAUGGAAGAAGAUGA
RNAcentral lists this ribosomal RNA (307 nucleotides) under Candidatus Thorarchaeota archaeon. Its description in RNAcentral is "Thorarchaeota archaeon (strain OWC) Archaeal small subunit ribosomal RNA". It matches the Rfam family "Archaeal small subunit ribosomal RNA", at positions 1199 to 1478 of the family's 1478-position model. Lineage: Archaea; Promethearchaeati; Candidatus Thorarchaeota. The record is from Rfam by way of RNAcentral.